GUACUCAAUUUUUCAUACAUACAUAAGUACCAAACUUUUUGUUCCCAGACGCCCGACUCGUAUGGCAGCAUGUUGGAGUUGUGUUGGAAAGGAACAAAGACGGUGGAUCUUGGGAACGGGGAGACCCGGAAAUUCCUGAAGGACGGAGACGAUGUCAUUUUCACAGGUUAUUGUGAGAAAGAUGGAGUUCGGAUUGGAUUUGGGUCAUGUACUGGACAAGUCUUACCCGCCCUUCCCAUGUCCUGAGAUUGACCACCAACAGCCAAUCACAGCGCUUGGCUCAUUUAUCUGUUGAACAAAGUAUUCAUAGUAUUCCAGCAUUGUUGUAUUAAAGUGUGUGUUAGAGAAUGGGGAUUUUUAAUAGUCACUGAUCAUUUGGAGGAGAGGGAAACUCAUUUUGUACAAGUGCAUAUAUGUUUGAUUAUAUGUUCAUGAAAAAAAAAUUAAUUAUUUGUACAAUGAAAUCUAUUGACUAUCUUUGUUUUUCAUGGGUAUGUGUUAGUGUAUAAUAAAUAUGAGUUUAAAAUUA
Molecule: long non-coding RNA, 529 nt
Organism: Magallana angulata
Lineage: Eukaryota; Metazoa; Mollusca; Bivalvia; Ostreida; Ostreidae
Exons: 2
Source: RefSeq, a predicted model, not a curated record